RNAcentral lists this ribosomal RNA (253 nucleotides) under uncultured bacterium. Its description in RNAcentral is "partial 16S ribosomal RNA". It matches the Rfam family "Bacterial small subunit ribosomal RNA", at positions 524 to 776 of the family's 1533-position model. The record is from RNAcentral.
UACGGAGGAUGCAAGCGUUAUCCGGAAUGAUUGGGCGUAAGGCGUCCGCAGGUGGCAAUGUAAGUCUGCUGUCAAAGCGUCUGGCUCAACCAGAUAAAGGCAGUGGAAACUACAUAGCUAGAGUAAGGUAGGGGUAGAGGGAAUUCCUGGUGUAGCGGUGAAAUGCGUAGAGAUCAGGAAGAACACCGGUGGCGAAAGCGCUCUGCUGGACCUUAACUGACACUGAGGGACGAAAGCUAGGGGAGCGAAUGGG